AUUGAACGCUGGCGGCAUGCUUUACACAUGCAAGUCGAACGGUAACAGGCCGCAAGGUGCUGACGAGUGGCGAACGGGCGAGUAAUGCAUCGGAACGUGCCCAGCCGUGGGGGAUAACUUCUCGUCAGAGUACCUAAUACCGCACCCGAUCUAUGGAUCAACGCGGGGGACCGUAAGGCCUCGCGCGAUCGGAGCGGCCUAUGUCAGAGUAGUUAGUUGGUGGGGUAAAGGCUCACCCAGCCAACGAGCUGUAGCUGGUCUGAGAGGACGACCAGUCACACUGGGACUGAGACGCGGACCAGACUCCUGCGGGAGGCAGCAGUCGGGAAUUUUAGGCAAUGGGCGCGAGCCUGAUCCAGCGAUGCCGAGUGCAAGAAGAAAGCCUUCGGGUUGUGAACUGCUUUUGUACGGAGCAAAACGGCUCUGGUUAUGACGAGGCGCUAAUGACGGUACCGUGAGAAUAAGCACCGGCUAACUACGUG
This 482-nucleotide ribosomal RNA is filed under the name uncultured bacterium. Its description in RNAcentral is "partial 16S ribosomal RNA". It matches the Rfam family "Bacterial small subunit ribosomal RNA", at positions 30 to 507 of the family's 1533-position model. The record is from RNAcentral.